RNAcentral lists this ribosomal RNA (420 nucleotides) under uncultured bacterium. Its description in RNAcentral is "bacterial SSU rRNA". It matches the Rfam family "Bacterial small subunit ribosomal RNA", at positions 355 to 774 of the family's 1533-position model. The record is from RNAcentral.
UAAGGAAUAUUGCUCAAUGGGAGAAAUCCUGAAGCAGCAACGCCGCGUGGAGGAUGAAGGGUCUAUGACUUGUAAACUCCUGUAAAGAAGGAAAAAAUUCCCAUUAGAUGGGAGAUGAUGGUACUUCUGGAGUAAGCCCCGGCUAACUACGUGCCAGCAGCCGCGGUAAUACGUAGGGGGCAAGCGUUGUCCGGAUUUACUGGGUGUAAAGGGUGCUCAGGCGGAUUUGUAAGUCAGCGGUGAAAUUUUCAGGCUCAACCUGAACACUGCCGUUGAAACUGGGAUUCUUGAGUAUGGAUGAAGUAGGCGGAAUUCGUUGUGUAGCGGUGACAUGCUUAGAUAUAACGAGGAACUCCGAUUGCGUAGGCAGCUUACUAAGCCAUAACUGACGCUCAAGCACGAAAGCGUGGGGAUCAAACA